AACAAGGCGUACCUGCGGACCUGCGGAAGGAUCAUUACAGGACUCGCAAGACUCCUUAAACCCCUGUGAACUUACUGUUUAUACGUUGCUUCGGCGGGUGCUCCGGGGUCCGCCCCGGGGCGCUGCGCCCGCCGGCAGCCUACUUAAUUCUGUUUCUCUGCGUUGGCAUCUCGAGUAAGCAAAAUAAGUUAAAACUUUCAACAACGGAUCU
This 211-nucleotide unclassified non-coding RNA is filed under the name soil metagenome. RNAcentral's name for it is "partial contains 5.8S ribosomal RNA, internal transcribed spacer 2, and large subunit ribosomal RNA". The record is from RNAcentral.